AUUGAACGCUGGCGGCAGGCCUAACACAUGCAAGUCGAGCGGAUGAAGGGAGCUUGCUCCUGGAUUCAGCGGCGGACGGGUGAGUAAUGCCUAGGAAUCUGCCUGGUAGUGGGGGAUAACGUCCGGAAACGGGCGCUAAUACCGCAUACGUCCUGAGGGAGAAAGUGGGGGAUCUUCGGACCUCACGCUAUCAGAUGAGCCUAGGUCGGGUUAGCUAGUUGGUGGGGUUAAGGCCUACCAAGGCGACGAUCCGUAACUGGUCUGAGAGGAUGAUCAGUCACACUGGAACUGAGACACGGUCCAGACUCCUGCGGGAGGCAGCAGUGUGGAAUAUUGGGCAAUGGGCGAAAGCCUGAUCCAGCCAUGCCGCGUGUGUGAAGAAGGUCUUCGGAGUGUAAAGCACUUUAAGUUGUGAGGAAGGGCAGUAAGUUAAUACCUUGCUGUUUUGACGUUACCAACAGAAUAAGCACCGGCUAACUUCGUG
This 484-nucleotide ribosomal RNA is filed under the name uncultured bacterium. RNAcentral describes it as "partial 16S ribosomal RNA". It matches the Rfam family "Bacterial small subunit ribosomal RNA", at positions 30 to 507 of the family's 1533-position model. The record is from RNAcentral.